AACGAACGCUGGCGGCGUGCUUAACACAUGCAAGUCGAACGUGAAAGACUUCGGUCGAGUAAAGUGGCGAACGGGUGAGUAACGCGUGGGUAAUCUGCCCUCGGGCGGGGGAUAACCUCUCGAAAGGGGGCGUAAUACGCAUGAGACCACGGCUUCUUGGAGCUGUGGGAAAAGGUGGGUCGCAAGACCAGCCACCUGAGGAUGAGCCCGCGUACCAUUAGGUAGUUGGUGGGGUAAUGGCCUACCAAGCCUGAGAUGGUUAGCUGGUCUGAGAGGACGAUCAGCCACACUGGGACUGAGACACGGCCCAGACUCCUACGGGAGGCAGCAGUGGGGAAGUAUUGCGCAAUGGGGGAAACCCGUGACGCAGCAACGCCGCGUGUGUGAAGAAAGGCC
RNAcentral lists this ribosomal RNA (396 nucleotides) under uncultured bacterium. RNAcentral describes it as "bacterial SSU rRNA". It matches the Rfam family "Bacterial small subunit ribosomal RNA", at positions 29 to 417 of the family's 1533-position model. The record is from RNAcentral.